This 343-nucleotide unclassified non-coding RNA is filed under the name soil metagenome. RNAcentral describes it as "partial contains 5.8S ribosomal RNA, internal transcribed spacer 2, and large subunit ribosomal RNA". The stretch from base 1 to 120 matches the Rfam family "5.8S ribosomal RNA", at positions 35 to 154 of the family's 154-position model. The record is from RNAcentral.
GAUGAAGAACGUAGCGAAAUGCGAUAAGUAAUGUGAAUUGCAGAAUUCAGUGAAUAAUCGAAUCUUUGAACGCACAUUGCGCCCGCCAGCAUUCUGGCGGGCAUGCCUGUUCGAGCGUCAUUUCAACCCUCGAGCCCCCCCGGGGGCCUCGGUGUUGGGGGACGGCACACCAGCCGCCCCCGAAAUGCAGUGGCGACCCCGCCGCAGCCUCCCCUGCGUAGUAGCACACACCUCGCACCGGAGCGCGGAGGCGGUCACGCCGUAAAACGCCCAACUUUCUUAGAGUUGACCUCGGAUCAGGUAGGAAUACCCGCUGAACUUAAGCAUAUCAAUAAGCGGAGGA